Gymnodraco acuticeps is the source of this 614-nucleotide non-coding RNA. The record is from the annotation of a RefSeq genome assembly. NCBI's taxonomy places the organism in Eukaryota, Metazoa, Chordata, Actinopteri, Perciformes, Bathydraconidae.
GCAGAGUUUAUCAGUCCUCUUUAUACUCUCUGUAGCUCAGAGUUUCUCAACCUGCAGAUAUGAUGCAUCUGGUUAUCUCAGUGUUGCUGGCUGCUAUGAGUCUUGAAUGCAGAGCCCAAAGAGACAACGUGCUGCAACCUGAAGCAGAAAAGACUGCUACUAAAGGAGAGGCAGUAACACUUGGCUGUCACUAUAACACCACUUCAUCAAAUUACUAUCUCUUCUGGUACAAACAGCACGGAGACAACAGCCCCACAUUCAUCCUGAGCCGCUUUAAGAUCGGCACGGGGAAAACAGAGGACGAGGACAGAUUCUCAUCCACACUGGAUUCAAGCUUAAGAUCUGUUCCUCUGAAGAUCCAGAAGCUUCAGCUGUCUGACUCUGCUGUGUACUACUGUGCUCUGCAGCCCACAGUGACAGGAAACACCAACACUCUGUACAAAAACCUUUGGAGCAAAGAAAUCACAAUACUGAUCAACAUCCACCAGAGGGAGUCUAUCUCUGUUCACCUUCAGCAGGAUGUGAUGAUACAGUCUAGAUUAGAUUCUCUAAGACUCACAGCUGUGAUGAAGAGCUCCAGAAACUCAUUGGACAUCCGAGUCUCCUCCUGCUGA